GACGAACGCUGGCGGCGUGCCUAAUACAUGCAAGUCGAACGAACCGCGACUGAGUGCUUGCACUUGGUCAAGGUGAGUGGCGAACGGGUGAGUAACACGUGGGUAACCUACCUCAUAGUGGGGGAUAACAGUCGGAAACGACUGCUAAUACCGCAUAGGACAUGGAAUCACAUGAUUCUGUGAGGAAAGGUGGCGCAAGCUAUCGCUAAGAGAUGGACCCGCGGUGCAUUAGCUAGUUGGUAGGGUAAGGGCCUACCAAGGCGAUGAUGCAUAGCCGACCUGAGAGGGUGAUCGGCCACAUUGGGACUGAGACACGGCCCAAACUCCUACGGGAGGCAGCAGUAGGGAAUCUUCCGCAAAGGACGCAAGUCUGACGGAGCAACGCCGCGUGAGUGAAGAAGGUCUUCGGAUCGUAAAGCUCUGUUGUUAAAGAAGAACAGCGCAUAGAGUAACUGUUAUGCGUGUGACGGUAUCUAACCAGAAAGCCACGGCUAACUACGUG
Molecule: ribosomal RNA, 502 nt
Filed under: uncultured bacterium
Lineage: Bacteria
Description: partial 16S ribosomal RNA
Rfam family: Bacterial small subunit ribosomal RNA
Source: RNAcentral